Molecule: long non-coding RNA, 191 nt
Organism: Lepisosteus oculatus (spotted gar)
Lineage: Eukaryota; Metazoa; Chordata; Actinopteri; Semionotiformes; Lepisosteidae
Source: RefSeq, a predicted model, not a curated record
CUCUGCCAGGAUCUGCUACAUCCUACUACACCGGGCAGCUGAGGCACAGGGCUGAAGAGCCGUGCAGAAAAUCUAGAGGGUUUGAUGAGCUCCAGAACACAUACCAACCUGGACUCCCUGAGAUUGCUGUGUUCUUGAAAUGUACCUGAUAUGGAGAAGAACGAAAAGUGAGAUUUUGGAAAGCACUCAGG